AACGUAGGAGACAAACGUUAUCCGGAGUUACUGGGCGUAAAGGGCGUGUAGGCGGUUUGUUAAGUCUGGCGUGAAAGCUCUCGGCUAAACCGGGAGAGGUCGUUGGAUACCGGCGAACUAGAGGAUGGUAGAGGCGUGUGGAAUUCCGGGUGUAGUGGUGAAAUGCGUAGAGAUCCGGAGGAACACCAGUGGCGAAGGCGACACGCUGGGCCAUACCUGACGCUAAAGCGCGACAGCAUGGGGAGCAAACGGG
Molecule: ribosomal RNA, 253 nt
Filed under: uncultured bacterium
Lineage: Bacteria
Description: partial 16S ribosomal RNA
Rfam family: Bacterial small subunit ribosomal RNA
Source: RNAcentral